Molecule: long non-coding RNA, 1036 nt
Organism: Thunnus maccoyii (southern bluefin tuna)
Lineage: Eukaryota; Metazoa; Chordata; Actinopteri; Scombriformes; Scombridae
Exons: 3
Source: RefSeq, a predicted model, not a curated record
GCGAUGCGACAUCCCAGCACCCAAUAUUUAGUGAAUUUUGCCUUUGUGAUUUUUGCUGAGGAAGAGGUGGCAGAAUCAGCAACAGAGUGAUCCAACAGGGACUAGGAUAAAUAGAGGAAAACUGGGGUCCCAGCCAUACUUGGACAAGGUCCAGAAGUGUGGCUUAUAGGGGACAGCUACAUCCGACGUGGGGAAGAAAGAGUCAGACACACCACAAGGAGCAACCUCUGACUGGAUGGCCAUGUGUGGUGGUUUGGCUGGGGUGGUCUGACAGGGAAGAACUGUCUUCCCUUUUUUUUAAUCAUUCCUUUAGAGGAAGAAGAAUCUACUCAUCCACUGUGGCAGCAAUAACAUCAGCUAGUGUUUUUUUUUCUUGUUGUCUCCAUAAGAUGUUUGAACUUUACUGUGCUGAAUGAUGUAUGUGCAGAGUUUAAUGCUAGAAGGCUGUUUUUAAUUUAAUCUGCUGAAGGGGGAAAGUUUAUCUUGUAUUUGAGUUUAAAUUUAUGUCACUAUGGGCAUGACAUGACAACACAACUAGGUUGGAGUGUACAUGUACCGACAAGUAAAAUCAGCAAAGAUUGUCACCCAUUGCACUUGUGUUGGAGAUUAUCAAAAAUUAUAGAUGUAUACAAUUUUACCAGAAGGUAUGUACUCAUUGUGAGAUUUAUUUUUUCACAUAUUGCCCAGCCACAUUAGAGACUCAGAUAAAUUCAUUUGAUGGAUGCCACACAGCUAGAAGAUGGAUGAAUGGAUGAGCCUUUGAUAACUGCACUCCACCACAAUACAAUGCGAGUAAUAAUAUUGGAAAACUGUGACAAGGACAGAUUAAUUAUAUUAUAACAUUAAAUAAAAGUUAUAAUAUACAUUGUUAGGCUUGUCAAUUACAUAUAAAAACAUGAGUGUACACUAGACCAUGCAGUAGAUAUUUGGGCAUGCAGUACUGUUAGACAUGGAUGUCGGGGAUUAGUAAGGCACUAUUACGUAGCAUGAACAUGCGGUGCUAUGAGAAAUCACCCGUAAGACCAUAGCUCUCCCA